Non-coding RNA from Nicotiana tabacum (common tobacco), 413 nucleotides. The record is from RefSeq and is a predicted model, not a curated record. Lineage: Eukaryota; Viridiplantae; Streptophyta; Magnoliopsida; Solanales; Solanaceae.
UUCAAUUUUUAUUUUCGAAAAUCCUUUUUGCCCAAAGGGCCGGACCGCCGCAAUGUCCAAGUUGUUUUCCUGCAAAUUCAACGUUUCGGCUUGAAGAUAGUCUUACGUUGAAACUUUUUCCUGAAAAAGAGCGGCGUUUCAACUCAGAAACGACCCGAAGGCGUUGAUUUCUUACGGUCCUUAUCGGUGCCCGUGUGUGUAUAUAGUAAUGUAAUAGUAUAAGCUUUUCUCAGCAACUGACUUGCACAGUAAGUAGAGAUUUUUAUCAGAAACAAAUGGAAAGCGUAACGCGUGAAGCAGAAGAAGGUUUAGCAGUUGCAGCUCUCGGCUCUCUCUUCAAACUUACCGAAGUUCAUCUUUCAGAUUAUUCGUCAUGGCAAAUGCAAGAAGCGCAGAUUUUUCUGGAAUCUGCG